This 458-nucleotide ribosomal RNA is filed under the name uncultured bacterium. RNAcentral's name for it is "partial 16S ribosomal RNA". It matches the Rfam family "Bacterial small subunit ribosomal RNA", at positions 28 to 507 of the family's 1533-position model. The record is from RNAcentral.
GAUAAACGCUGGCGGCGUGCAUGAGACAUGCAAGUCGAACGAAGGAUCGGGCUUGCUCGAUCCUUAGUGGCGGACGGCUGAGUAACGCGUAGGUGACCUACCCCGAAGUGGGGAAUAACUGCCCGAAAGGGUGGCUAAUACCGCAUGUGGUCGCACGUUCAUUCGUGCGAGUAAAGCCGCAAGGCGCUUCGGGAGGGGCCUGCGUCCGAUUAGCUCGUUGGUGGGGUAAUGGCUUACCAAGGCGACGAUCGGUAGGUGGUCUGAGAGGACGAUCACCCAGACUGGGACUGAGACACGGCCCAGACUCCUACGGGAGGCAGCAGUCGGGAAUUUUGCUCAAUGGGGGAAACCCUGAAGCAGCAACGCCGCGUGAGGGAUGAAGGCCUUCGGGUUGUAAAACUCUUUUGUCAGGGACGAUGAUGACGGUACCUGGCGAAUAAGCCACGGCUAACUACGUG